GACGAACGCUGGCGGCGUGCUUAACACAUGCAAGUCGAACGGAAAGGCCCUGCUUGCAGGGUGCUCGAGUGGCGAACGGGUGAGUAACACGUGGGUGAUCUGCCCCUUACUUUGGGAUAAGCCUGGGAAACUGGGUCUAAUACUGGAUAGGACCAUGCUGUAGGUGGUGUGGUGGAAAGAUUAGUUUCGGUAAGGGAUGAGCUCGCGGCCUAUCAGCUUGUUGGUGGGGUAAUGGCCUACCAAGGCGUCGACGGGUAGCCGGCCUGAGAGGGUGGACGGCCACAUUGGGACUGAGAUACGGCCCAGAAUCCUACGGGAGGCAGCAGUGGGGAAUAUUGCACAAUGGGCGCAAGCCGGAUGCAGCGACGCCGCGUGGGGGAUGACGGCCUUCGGGUUGUAAACUCCUUUCAGCCAUGACGAAGCCCUUGUGGUGACGGUAGUGGUAGAAGAAGCACCGGCUAACUACGUG
This 469-nucleotide ribosomal RNA is filed under the name uncultured bacterium. RNAcentral describes it as "partial 16S ribosomal RNA". It matches the Rfam family "Bacterial small subunit ribosomal RNA", at positions 28 to 507 of the family's 1533-position model. The record is from RNAcentral.